This 253-nucleotide ribosomal RNA is filed under the name uncultured bacterium. RNAcentral's name for it is "partial 16S ribosomal RNA". It matches the Rfam family "Bacterial small subunit ribosomal RNA", at positions 524 to 776 of the family's 1533-position model. The record is from RNAcentral.
UACAGAGGUCUCAAGCGUUGUUCGGAUUCAUUGGGCGUAAAGGGUGCGUAGGCGGCGCGGUAAGUCGGGUGUGAAAUCUCGGGGCUUAACUCCGAAACUGCAUUCGAUACUGCCGUGCUUGAGGACUGGAGAGGAGACUGGAAUUUACGGUGUAGCGGUGAAAUGCGUAGAUAUCGUAAGGAAGACCAGUGGCGAAGGCGGUUCUCUGGGCAUUACCUGACGCUGAGGAGCGAAAGUGUGGGGAGCGAACAGG